UUUACGGAGAGUUUGAUCCUGGCUCAGGACGAACGCUGGCGGCGUGCUUAACACAUGCAAGUCGAACGAUGAAGCUGGAGCUUGCUCCGGUGGAUUAGUGGCGAACGGGUGAGUAACACGUGAGCAACCUGCCCUUCACUCUGGGAUAACUGCGGGAAACUGUAGCUAAUACCGGAUAUUAGGAUCCGAGGCAUCUCGGAUCUUGGAAAGAAUUUCGGUGAAGGAUGGGCUCGCGGCCUAUCAGCUUGUUGGUGAGGUAAAGGCUCACCAAGGCGACGACGGGUAGCCGGCCUGAGAGGGUGACCGGCCACACUGGAACUGAGACACGGUCCAGACUCCUACGGGAGGCAGCAGUGGGGAAUAUUGCACAAUGGGCGCAAGCCUGAUGCAGCAACGCCGCGUGAGGGAUGAAGGCCUUCGGGUUGUAAACCUCUUUUAGCAGGGAAGAAGCGAAAGUGACGGUACCUGCAGAAAAAGCACCGGCUAACUACGUGCCAGCAGCCGCGGUAAUACGUAGGGUGCAAGCGUUGUCCGGAAUUAUUGGGCGUAAAGAGCUCGUAGGCGGUUUGUCGCGUCUGCUGUGAAAACUGGAAGCUCAACUUCCAGCCUGCAGUGGGUACGGGCAGACUAGAGUGCGGUAGGGGAGAACGGAAUUCCUGGUGUAGCGGUGGAAUGCGCAGAUAUCAGGAGGAACACCGAUGGCGAAGGCAGUUCUCUGGGCCGUUACUGACGCUGAGGAGCGAAAGCGUGGGGAGCGAACAGGAUUAGAUACCCUGGUAGUCCACGCCGUAAACGAUGGGUGCUAGUUGUUGGCCUGUAUGGGCCAGUGACGUAGUUAACGCGCUAAGCACACCACCUGGGGAGUACGUUCGCAAGAAUGAAACUCAAAGGAAUUGACGGGGGCCCGCACAAGCGGUGGAGCAUGUGGUUUAAUUCGAUGCAACGCGAAGAACCUUACCUGCCCUUGACAUCCUCGGAACUUGUCAGAGAUGACUUGGUGCCUUCGGGAACUGAGUGACAGGUGCUGCAUGGCUGUCGUCAGCUCGUGUCGUGAGAUGUUGGGUUAAGUCCCGCAACGAGCGCAACCCUCGUCCUAUGUUGCCAGCACGUAAUGGUGGGAACUCAUGGGAUACUGCCGGGGUCAACUCGGAGGAAGGUGGGGAUGACGUCAAAUCAUCAUGCCCCUUAUGUCUUGGGCUUCACGCAUGCUACAAUGGCCGGUACAGAGGGCUGCAAUACCGCAAGGUGGAGCGAAUCCCAAAAAGCCGGUCUCAGUUCGGAUUGAGGUCUGCAACUCGACCUCAUGAAGUCGGAGUCGCUAGUAAUCGUAGAUCAGCAACGCUACGGUGAAUACGUUCCCGGGCCUUGUACACACCGCCCGUCAAGUCACGAAAGUCGGUAACACCCGAAGCCGGUGGCCCAACCUUUUGGAGGGAGCCGUCUAAGGUGGGACUGGUAAUUGGGACUAAGUCGUAACAAGGUAGCCGUACCGGAAGGUGCGGCUGGAUCACCUCCUUU
This 1518-nucleotide ribosomal RNA is filed under the name Microbacteriaceae bacterium. RNAcentral describes it as "bacterial SSU rRNA". It matches the Rfam family "Bacterial small subunit ribosomal RNA". Lineage: Bacteria; Bacillati; Actinomycetota; Actinomycetes; Micrococcales; Microbacteriaceae. The record is from RNAcentral.